GACGAACGCUGGCGGCGUGCUUAACACAUGCAAGUCGAACGAGAACGGGAUAUAGCUUGCUAUAUUUGUCAGCUAAGUGGCGCACGGGUGAGUAAUGUAUAGAUAACCUGCCCUCUAGAAAGGAAUAACAGUUGGAAACGACUGCUAAUGCCCUAUAUGCCUUUAAUACAUAAGUAUGCAAGGGAAACGCUUUAGUGCUAGAGGAUGGGUCUGUAUGGUAUCAGCUUGUUGGUGAGGUAAUGGCUCACCAAGGCUAUGACGCCUAACUGGUUUGAGAGGAUGAUCAGUCACACUGGAACUGAGACGCGGUCCAGACUCCUACGGGAGGCAGCAGUGGGGAAUAUCGCACAAUGGACGAAAGUCUGAUGCAGCAACGCCGCGUGGAGGAUGACACAUUUCGGUGCGUAAACUCCUUUUAUAUAGGAAGAUAAUGACGGUACUAUAUGAAUAAGCACCGGCUAACUCCGUGCCAGCCGCCGCCGUAA
RNAcentral lists this ribosomal RNA (485 nucleotides) under uncultured bacterium. Its description in RNAcentral is "partial 16S ribosomal RNA". It matches the Rfam family "Bacterial small subunit ribosomal RNA", at positions 28 to 523 of the family's 1533-position model. The record is from RNAcentral.